This 471-nucleotide ribosomal RNA is filed under the name uncultured bacterium. RNAcentral describes it as "bacterial SSU rRNA". It matches the Rfam family "Bacterial small subunit ribosomal RNA", at positions 355 to 825 of the family's 1533-position model. The record is from RNAcentral.
UGGGGAAUAUUGCGCAAUGGGCGAAAGCCUGACGCAGCAACGCCGCGUGAGUGAUGAAGGCCUUCGGGUCGUAAAGCUCUGUCGGAGGGAACGAAUGCUCCUGAAGUUAACAGCCUCAGGAGGUGACGGUACUAUUUAUAAGGUCCGGCUAACUACGUGCCAGCAGCCGCGGUAAUACGUAGGGACCAAGCGUUGUUCGGAUUUACUGGGCGUAAAGGGCGCGUAGGCGGCAUGACAAGUCACUUGUGAAAUCUCUGGGCUUAACCCAGAACGGCCAAGUGAUACUGUCGCGCUAGAGUGCAGAAGGGGCAAUCGGAAUUCUUGGUGUAGCGGUGAAAUGCGUAGAUAUCAAGAGGAACACCUGAGGUGAAGACGGGUUGCUGGGCUGACACUGACGCUGAGGCGCGAAAGCCAGGGGAGCAAACGGGAUUAGAUACCCAUGUAGUCCCUGAGCGGGCUGGCAAGGCGCAU